Molecule: long non-coding RNA, 2817 nt
Organism: Pezoporus flaviventris
Lineage: Eukaryota; Metazoa; Chordata; Aves; Psittaciformes; Psittacidae
Exons: 4
Source: RefSeq, a predicted model, not a curated record
CGCUCACAGGACCUUUACCUGGGUGGCAGGCAGGGUAUGCAUCAGUACUGCCAAGGGAGAUCUGAAAGAGAAGCAAAAUAGAGUGAAUUUCCUGCUCUGCUUGAGGCUUGGCAGGCUGGCUUCAUGCUGUAACACUGAUGUUGUUGACCCCAGUGUUUAGCUGCUGUCACAGUGGGUAGAGAGGGUAAUGUGGAGUUGUGACUCCUGUGCUCCCUUUUUGACUUGAAACACAGUAAGCUGUUCUGAUUACUCCUAAUAACCUAAAACUUCAUCCCCUUCUUUUAGGGCAUAACAUGGGUGGAGAGAGCUGUGUGGGAAGAAAAUUGAGUGACUGCUGAACGUCUAUGGCCAAGUUGGACAUAGAUUGUCUCAUAAGUCAAAAUCUCUAACAACAUAAGAGCCUACACCUCCCAAAACAGAGUUCACAGGUGUUUAUGCUUCCCCCACGACUGAGCUUCCAUCUCAGCUGUGAAGGGAUGCCAGGCCCCAUGCACUCAAGCUCCAGAUGUGGCUGGAGAGGAGCAUCGCUCAGUCCCUGCAGCUUGGGAUUGCUCUCCUCCCUUUGUUCAUAGGAGCCUGCUUCAGACAAAGCACCUGGACUGUGUUAGAUGGGAGGGAAGAAUCGGUUCCAGAAGGAAGAAUCUCCCCUGAUCAUGCCUCUUCCCAGCAUCUAGACAUUUAAACUCAGAUACCCGCAACCAAGAACUUGAUUUUGACAGUGAAGCAGAAAGAGUGUUGGACUGUCUCAGCACCUACCUCCUACGUACCGCACCUUCAUUUGCACUCCUUGGCAGCUCCUGUGCAGCAGCAUGCAGAUCCCUGUUGGCCUGGCACAGCAGAUGGGAUGCCUUGGAUUAUGCUUGAAACUAAAAGGCAAGUUUGGUGACAUUUUGCUGCGUAUUUUCAUGUGCUAGUAGCAGGAACAUGUGAGACUGAGGUACAGCAUCACUCCUACUCCCAUCACUCCUACUCCCAUGACAAGCCUUUUCUGAACAGUUCAGCCAGUUUUGCAACUGCAGCAGUCAUUUUUCCCUGAUGCCUACAGACAGGGUCUGGAAUAAUACUGUCAACCCCCCCUUUCAGGUCUUAUGGGUAAAGGAGGAUCUGCAACUGUGAAAGGCUAGUACCAUAAUACCUUCUAAUGCCAUAGUAUCAUAUAAUGCUAGUUCCUCGGUAUUUGAUUUAAUGUGCUAGUACUGCAAAGUUUCUAUGGACUUUCAGGGCAGUUUUGAGUAAUGUCAUUAAAAUUGUCACAGGAGGUAGUGUCUUUCAAUAUUUCAUUCUUUUAUGCUUAGUUUUUAAUUAUUCCUUGUUUAAUUAGCUCUGAAAACGAGUGCUCUUUCCCAGCAAAGAAGAACGUGACUUAUACACGGGUUUGUCUUUGUAUUUUCCUUUUCUUCAGAAAUUGCUGUAUGAACAAAUCACAGGGGCCACAUUUUGACCAACGGGUUACUCAGCUCAGCCCCCCACAGGCUGGUCCAUGUGUCACUCAUGGAACUUGUGUAAUUUCCAUCUCUGAGGAUCUUUGGUUACAGAGCAAACACUGUGAGGAAUAACAUAUGCAAAAAAUUAGGACAGAGCAAUAGUGUAUGUCAAUGUUUCUCAGCCUUCUUUUAGGUGAAGAACAAGCCAGACUUUAAGCAAAGAAAGAUGUACCCUGUUUGGUUUUGUUGUAUUUUUCUCUUGUAUAGCUGAAUAACACAUGGGCUAAAAUGGGCUCAUUCAUGCUCUAGGUUUUUGACUAUCACUUUUAUUCAUUUGCUUAUACUUGGCUGUAUAUUUCAUUAACAUUAUGGGGUUUAAAAUCAUCUGGUAAAUGUACCCUCUAAGAUCUGAUGAGCCAGUGGUGAAAAGCGUUUGAGAAGCAUUCAGCUAAGGACUUCUACAGGUCCUUUUAAUCCAUUUACUUUACAACUCUUUGGUACAUAGGUGUCCCCUGGCACACAACUUGGCACCAUUCACUCCAGAGUAAUAAGAGUGAUCAAGGGAAUGAAAUAACCCAGUAGUGUUGAAUCCAAUUUUGAUAUAGCAAAAAGAAAUGAAGACGCUUCCUGCAUGCAGGCUUUCCAGGUGGUUAGUUUACAGUUUAGGCAAAUGUUAUUUUCUUGCACUGUUAAUCAUUUCUUGUUAAGUGUGUCAUAAUACAUUGAUUUACAGCAGCUAACGUUGCAUUGACAGCAGGGAGUACGGUACGCUCUUUGUAAAGUCAGUCUGAAGAUAGAUAUUUAAAGCAGAAUCAAAGAAGAUGAUAAGGACUUAGCCCACAUGAGGUGAUGAGGGAAAUUGCAUUGAGGUUAGCUUCCUGCGCUCUGGCAUGGAGAGAUAUAAGAAACAAAAGGGUACAGGGGUAAAUCAUGGGAUGAUGGCAUCAUAGUGUCAUAGAAUAGUUUGGGUUGGAAGGGACCUUCAAAGGUCACCAUGUUAUUUCAUGGGAUGUCCUGGAAAAAACAAAUGGAAGUAGAACAGUAUUAUGUCUUUCACAUGCAUGCUAAGCAUCUACAGAGUGAUUGAGAGAACUGUGUGCUGAAGAUGGGCUUUAAAUAGAAAACGGGAGAAAAAGGGGAUGAGAUGCCCUGUUAACUCCAGCAGUGACACCACUAACUCCAUUAGAAACCCUGUUUUGAAAUGAUCUCCUGAGAGUAUGAAACAUAACUGGUUAUUCUUCCACCCAAAAGUCAUAGCAGCUCAAGAGCAUUCAAAAAGUUUAUUGUUCUGUGUACAGGAAGCCCUUGAGGCAACUCCUGCAAGGAAAACCCUGAAAUGGAGGCUUGAGACAAAUAGAGGCUUUGUUUUCAUCACUGUUCUAAAGCCAGCAGA